AUUGAACGCUGGCGGCAGGCUUAACACAUGCAAGUCGAGCGAGUGGCGGACGGGUGAGUAAUGUCUGGGAAACUGCCUGAUGGAGGGGGAUCACUACUGGAAACGGUAGCUAAUACCGCAUACCAUCAGAUGUGCCCAGAUGGGAUUAGCUAGUAGGUGGUGUAAUGGCUCACCUAGGCGACGAUCCCUAGCUGGUCUGAGAGGAUGACCAGCCCCACUGGAACUGAGACACGGUCCAGACUCCUACGGGAGGCAGCAGUGGGGAAUAUUGCACAAGGGGGGCAAGCCUGAUGCAGCCAUGCGGCGUGUAUGAAGAAGGCCUUCGGGUUGUAAAGUACUUUCAGCGGGGAGGCGUUACCCGCAGAAGAAGCACCGGCUAACUCCGUGCCAGCAGCCGCGGUAAUAC
This 406-nucleotide ribosomal RNA is filed under the name uncultured bacterium. RNAcentral's name for it is "partial 16S ribosomal RNA". It matches the Rfam family "Bacterial small subunit ribosomal RNA", at positions 30 to 526 of the family's 1533-position model. The record is from RNAcentral.